Molecule: ribosomal RNA, 561 nt
Filed under: uncultured bacterium
Lineage: Bacteria
Description: bacterial SSU rRNA
Rfam family: Bacterial small subunit ribosomal RNA
Source: RNAcentral
CCUACGGGAGGCAGCAGUGGGGAAUCUUGCGCAAUGGGCGAAAGCCUGACGCAGCCAUGCCGCGUGAAUGAUGAAGGUCUUAGGAUUGUAAAAAUUCUUUCACCGGGGACGAUAAUGACGGUACCCGGAGAAGAAGCCCCGGCUAACUUCGUGCCAGCAGCCGCGGUAAUACGAAGGGGGCUAGCAUUGCUCGGAAUUACUGGGCGUAAAGGGAGCGUAGGCGGAUAGUUUAGUCAGAGGUGAAAGCCCAGGGCUCAACCUUGGAAUUGCCUUUGAUACUGGCUAUCUUGAGUACGGAAGAGGUAUGUGGAACUCCGAGUGUAGAGGUGAAAUUCGUAGAUAUUCGGAAGAACACCAGUGGCGAAGGCGACAUACUGGUCCGUUACUGACGCUGAGGCUCGAAAGCGUGGGGAGCAAACAGGAUUAGAUACCCUGGUAGUCCACGCUGUAAACGAUGAGUGCUAGUUGUCGGCAUGCAUGCAUGUCGGUGACGCAGCUAACGCACUAAGCACUCCGCCUGGGGAGUACGGUCGCAAGAUUAAAACUCAAAGGAAUUGACGG